RNAcentral lists this ribosomal RNA (200 nucleotides) under uncultured bacterium. RNAcentral's name for it is "partial 16S ribosomal RNA". It matches the Rfam family "Bacterial small subunit ribosomal RNA", at positions 328 to 539 of the family's 1533-position model. The record is from RNAcentral.
ACGCUCGACACCUACGGGAGGCAGCAGUGGGAAUAUUGCACAAUGGGGGAAACCCUGAUGCAGCAACGCCGCGUGAAGGAAGACGGUUUUCGGAUUGUAAACUUCUAUCGACAGGGACGAAGAAAGUGACGGUACCUGAAUAAGAAGCCCCGGCUAACUACGUGCUAGCAGCCGCGGUAAUCUGAGCGGGCUGGCAAGGC